Molecule: long non-coding RNA, 292 nt
Organism: Phyllopteryx taeniolatus (common seadragon)
Lineage: Eukaryota; Metazoa; Chordata; Actinopteri; Syngnathiformes; Syngnathidae
Exons: 3
Source: RefSeq, a predicted model, not a curated record
GCGCCCCGCGACCCUAACCAGGAUAAGCGGUGUUGAAAAUGGAUGGAUGGAUAAAUUUAGCCUUGGUUGUUAUGGUAUGUACAUUUGGAUCGCAUACAACAACUUGAAGAAGAAGACAAAGAAGAUUAUUUUUAAUAAAACACCAAAUUUUCAGAUGUUCUCCUCACAAGUGAUAAACAGACCCGUGUGGAACACGGGGAAGACGAAGCGGUCGUCUCCCGUCUCCCAGGAGAACUGGAUGUGGGAGGAGUUGGACACGCCGGGAACUGGGAUACAUUUGCUAUGCUUGAUG